Molecule: small RNA, 1276 nt
Filed under: Pyricularia oryzae
Lineage: Eukaryota; Fungi; Ascomycota; Sordariomycetes; Magnaporthales; Pyriculariaceae
Description: Magnaporthe oryzae sRNA M_BR32_EuGene_00108981
Source: RNAcentral
UUAAAUCGAGUUUCAAAAUAUUAUAACGUUUGUUAAUAUCCCAUAUUCCAUAUUUUUAAUGGUGUUUUUUAUUAAAUUAUAUAUUAUUAAUAUAAUUAAUUUAAAAUUUCAAACUUUUUAAUACGGUUUCCGUCAGCGAAUUAGGGUUAAAAUCCAUAUAUUAGUUAAUUAAUACUUUUUGGAUUAAAUAAAUAUUAUAUUAUGUAUUAUUUUGCACGCUACCUUGCAAUUUACCCUGAACUUAUUUAAUAAAUCGAAUUUCACUUGUUACGUGCACCUGGACCAGUAAAAGUACCAGGGCACCCAUUUUAUUAUACUUUUAGGGAUUUUAACCCUAUAUUCUUAAUGGAUUCCACUAUUAAAAAUAGUGAUAAACCUUAUAUUUUUAACAAAUAUAUACCGAUACCCGUUUAAAAUAAACAAAUAUAAUAAAAUUUCAAUUAGGGUAUUUUUCAAAAUAAUUAAAUUAAUUAGUUUUCGAUUAAGACUAAUUUUAUUUCGUUAUGGAGAAUAGUUAAAUACCGUCUUUCCUAAACCCAGUUUUAUUUAAUAGUGGGUUAACGUCCAGUUUGAACGAAAUUUUAACCGUUAAAUUACAAACCCAAAUAUAUUAAUAUAAAAGGUUAAUUACGCAAAUAGGUUAAUUUUAAUAUAUAAUUUGACAAUUGAUAUUUUUAUUAACGUUUGAAAAUAGUAAAUUUACCAACUCUAAUAUUUUGCCUAUAUUAAUAUACCUAAAAAUAGUAAUUUAAAGGCAAAUUUAUAAAUUCUUAAUAUUAAUAAUAUUACCGCAAUACCUAACCCAUUUUAUACUUUAAUUUCAAGUAAUAGAAUAAAUAAAUAAAAUAUUAAAACAGGUAUUACUUUUUGCUAAAGAUUGGAAAUUAAUAAUUGUUAAAAGUUUUAACCUGUGUAUAUUAAAACUUAUAACACACUUUAAAAUUAUAGAAAUUGCGGAAUUUAUUUUUAUUGUCAAAAUUGGUUAUAAUUUACCCCAGUCCAAAUAUUUAGUUUUAUUAUUAUUAAUAGGGGAUGUUCUAAUUAAAAAACCGUUGAAAUUUAUAACAUUGUAUUUUAACCCUAUAAUAAUUUCGUAAAUUGGAAAUAAAUAUUAUAUCGAUAAAGUUGAAAUUUGUUACGAUUAAGGUAUCGGGUAACCUGUUUGUAUAGUAAAAUAUAGUGGGUUAAAACAAUUGAACGUCUAAUUGGGUAACUGGGGAUUUUUAAUAACUGGGGUAAAAUUAUAAUCGAUUCCUGGGUGGGUAAUAAAUUAAUU